RNAcentral lists this long non-coding RNA (499 nucleotides) under Homo sapiens (human). RNAcentral describes it as "non-protein coding DSCR9:3". Lineage: Eukaryota; Metazoa; Chordata; Mammalia; Primates; Hominidae. The record is from RNAcentral.
CUUCUACCCGGGGGCUCCAGUGCAUCUGGCUUUAUCUCUGGGGUGCUUCCAUACAAAGGGGACAGAAGAGAUGAUGGAAGGCCUCAGUACUGCAGGAGGGGAGACGGAUGUCAUCUACAAUCACACAAUACAUGGGAGGUCACAGAACGCCAGGGUGACGUAACAAUUCAAACCAUGAAGAGGUAACAGAGCCCUUCGCGCGUCUCAACACGUGGUGACGCAGCUAAUAACCUGUGAUGCAUACAUGGGAACAAAUGCAUAGAAAAACUUGUCAAUGACACGGCAAAGUAAAACCCAAAUGAAGCGAGGUGAAAGAAUGGGCUGCAGCGCAGGCAAAACUGCACCACGUUACAGACUGCUCGCCUGGGAUGGAACGGUGGGGAGGUGCGCAGACGGAUGGACAAGCGCCUGGCAAAAUGGAUUUCUUUUCCUAGACUGCUAAUGCUACUAACAGUUCCCUCCUCACAGGGUCGCUAUAACGAGGUAACAUACAGCACUU